UACGAAGGGGGCUAGCGUUGCUCGGAAUCACUGGGCGUAAAGGGUGCGUAGGCGGGUCUUAAGUCAGGGGUGAAAUCCUGGAGCUCAACUCCAGAACUGCCUUUGAUACUGAGGAUCUUGAGUUCGGGAGAGGUGAGUGGAACUGCGAAUGUAGAGGUGAAAUUCGUAGAUAUUCGCAAGAACACCAGUGGCGAAGGCGGCUCACUGGCCCGAUACUGACGCUGAGGCACGAAAGCGUGGGGAGCAAACAGGG
Molecule: ribosomal RNA, 253 nt
Filed under: uncultured bacterium
Lineage: Bacteria
Description: partial 16S ribosomal RNA
Rfam family: Bacterial small subunit ribosomal RNA
Source: RNAcentral